Pelobates cultripes (western spadefoot toad) is the source of this 1156-nucleotide non-coding RNA. Lineage: Eukaryota; Metazoa; Chordata; Amphibia; Anura; Pelobatidae. The record is from the annotation of a GenBank genome assembly.
AUUCUAUUUUUCUGGACUAUGCUGAACUAUUGAACUCAUUUUUUUUUUUUUUUUGUAGAGUUAGCCAGAGAGAGAGGAAGUGUUAGCUGACCCAGGGAUGGAUGUACUAUGUGUAUCUUUGAUGUAUGUUGAGUGUGCCAAGGAUGGAUUCCCAUGUUUUGAGGAACUGCGUGAGGAUAUGACUGGUUUUGACUGGACUUUUGGAAUAGCGAAAAGGUUAAAAGAUAUAGGACGCAAGGUCCUGGUUGUGAUUAUUGUCAGAAUUUCAAGCUAGAUUAUAAUUUAUCUCAUGAAUUAAUAUGUAAGAAGUGUUUCCCAAUUCCUCCCAAUACCCAAGCUAUGUACUCACAGGUGCGGGUAUUAUAAGUCAUAAGUGGUGUCAACUGUGAGGGGAUGACAUGUCUAACACGAUCGCGGCCCCCACUCAGGUUUUCCCUAAAUGUUCUUUUUCCUCAAAUAUGAGUUUUUGCCACUGGGUUUUUGCCUGGCCAUAGAUCAUCGGGUGGACUGGUAAUCCUAGACCCGGGUCAUUGGACGGGGGAUAGGUAUUAUUCCCACUUUGACUAUAUGCGCCCACUUGCGUGGCUGAAGGAGGAAAACAACUAUUGGGAAUAAUAUACUUUGCCCAUAUUUACCUAGGGCUUAUGAUACAGAUGGCAUGUUGGUUAGUCUGUUUAAAAUUGGUUAACAUGUCAGCUAUUUGCAAUAAUUAUUGUUAUGGUUCUGGUCCUUGCUCUACUUGUUUAUGCUAUUUUUAAGACUAUUGUAUUCUGCAUUUACAAACAUACAUGCAACACUGUUCCUGUAAAAUCCCCAGCUUGCUAUGAUGAGUAUCUCCAAAUGUAUACACAUAACCGAAGCAAUGGUGAACAUGCUGAUACAGAUCUAUAAGUUUGUGGUACUGGUCAGAUGACUAGUCCUAUGCUAUGGGAAUAGUGGCCGAAGACAUAAUGAAAGACCUGCAGGAUUGACUAGCAAUCCUGAAUAUACCAUGGCAGAUGGCUGGUUGUCUGACCAAGACUCCUUAAAUGGGGUAUGAGCAAGGUCUUGCUCAAAGAGGGGAAUGAAGGGAAGGGGUUAAUGAUUCUCAUCUAUAAUUUCUGAUAUUAUAUUCUCAUUCUUAAGAUUUACACAAGAGCUAAAAACUAGACAAACC